Rattus norvegicus (Norway rat) is the source of this 1567-nucleotide non-coding RNA. The record is from RefSeq and is a predicted model, not a curated record. NCBI's taxonomy places the organism in Eukaryota, Metazoa, Chordata, Mammalia, Rodentia, Muridae.
UUAUAUAUAUAAUUUUCUCUUCCCUGGAAGAUGCUUUCUUAGGAGCACUGACUUAAGAUAUAAAGUUUGUUGUGUGUAUGCUUACUUCCACAGCUUUAUCAAAAGGCUUCUUCCUCAGGUACUUGUCUCCACUUUUGCUUUCAGACCCCUAGUCAGUCACUUAUAGCGUUCACAAAUGAAUCUCUGUCUUUACCACAGAGCAAUUGAUUUUCUUUUCAAAGUGAAUGACCAGAAACAUUGCUGUGUAGGAGUAGAGGUUUUUAUUGUUUUUGAGAACUAUCCUUGGGUGGGCUGUGGUGCAGGAGCAGACCAUUUUCAGCUUGUACUCUGAUAUUAAGACAAACCACCUGAUAUUUCAACUUGGACUUUUUAUUCUAUUAUGAGAUGUAAAUAGAAUCUGCUUUGCCUAUCCUUUGUGGACAAGAAUGGGUAUGCUUCUAUGACAACAAUGGUUAAAGAAGGGGAAAGUUUAAGAAAGGAACAAAUAAUAAGAGUAGGAAGGAGAAGAAGGAAGACGAGGAGGAGGAGAAGGAAGGGGAGGAAGGAGGAGAAGAGGAAGAGGAGGAGGAGGGGAAGAAGAAGAGGAAGAGGGAAUGAUAUAAUUGUAUUUUAAUUAAAUAAAAAUUUACAUCUUCAGAAAAACAUACUAGAACCUACAUUAGUUUACCUUGGUAAACAUACCUAUCUGUCAUAGUCAUUGCAACAAGAGCUUGGUUAACUCCUUUUUUUUUUCUUUUUUUCGGAGCUGGGGACCGAACUCUGGGCCUUGCGCUUGCUAGACCCUCAUCCUAGUUGCCUGGAAGCCGGUAUUCUGCUAGCAGCCUUCAGAUGAAGAUGUAGAACUUUCAGCUCUUCCUGCACCAUGCCUGCCUGGAUGCUGCCAUGUUCCUGCCUUGAUUAUAAUGGACUAAACCUCUGAACCUGGAAAGGAAUUGAACAAAGCAGUCCAACACCUAAAAGUAGAAGCAGAAACAAUAGAGAGAACACAAAUGGAGGCAACCCUUGUAAUGGAAAACCUAGGAAACAUCAUGAGUUACAGAUGUAAGCAUCACCAACAGUAUAAGAGAGAUAAAAGAGAGAAUCUCAGGUGUAGAAGAUACCUUACAAGAUAUUAAAGGUCGAUAAAAUUCAAACCCCAAAACAUCCUGGAAAUUGUGAUUCAUGCUUUGGGAAAAAUGAGAGGUAAAACAUGUGGCCCAUACAUAUACAACCACCCAAUUAGACAAGAUGGAUGAAGCAAAGAAGUGCAGACCGACAGGAGCUGGAUGUAGAUCGCUCCUGAGAGACACAGCCGGAAUACAGCAAAUACAGAGGCGAAUGCCAGCAGCAAACCACUGAACUGAGAAUAGGACCCCCGUUGAAGGAAUCAGAGAAAGAACUAGAAGAGCUUGAAGGGGCUCGAGACCCCAUAUGUACAACAAUGCCAAGCAACCAGAGCUUCCAGGGACUAAGCCACUACCUAAAGACUAUACAUGGACUGACUCUGGACUCUGACCUCAUAGGUAGCAAUGAAUAUCCUAGUAAGAGCACCAGUGGAAGGGGAAGCCCUGGGUCCUGCUAAGACUGA